This 55-nucleotide transfer RNA is filed under the name Akanthomyces lecanii RCEF 1005. RNAcentral describes it as "Cordyceps confragosa RCEF 1005 tRNA". It matches the Rfam family "tRNA", at positions 10 to 63 of the family's 71-position model. From Rfam's summary of the family: Transfer RNA (tRNA) molecules are approximately 80 nucleotides in length. Their secondary structure includes four short double-helical elements and three loops (D, anti-codon, and T loops). Lineage: Eukaryota; Fungi; Ascomycota; Sordariomycetes; Hypocreales; Cordycipitaceae. The record is from Rfam by way of RNAcentral.
GCCAAAUGGCAAGGCGUCUGGCUACGAACCAGAAGAUUGUGGGUUCGAUCCCCAC